GACGAACGCUGGCGGCGUGCUUAACACAUGCAAGUCGAGCGGCAAGGCCCUUUCGGGGGUACACGAGCGGCGAACGGGUGAGUAACACGUGGGUGACCUGCCCUCAGCUCUGGGAUAAGCCUGGGAAACCGGGUCUAAUACUGGAUAUGACUCCAUGACGCAUGUUGUGGGGUGGAAAGCCUUGUGCGGCUGAGGAUGGGCCCGCGGCCUAUCAGCUUGUUGGUGGGGUGAUGGCCUACUAAGGCGACGACGGGUAGCCGGCCUGAGAGGGCGACCGGCCACACUGGGACUGAGACACGGCCCAGACUCCUACGGGAGGCAGCAGUGGGGAAUCUUGCGCAAUGGGCGAAAGCCUGACGCAGCGACGCCGCGUGAGGGAUGACGGCC
This 387-nucleotide ribosomal RNA is filed under the name uncultured bacterium. RNAcentral's name for it is "bacterial SSU rRNA". It matches the Rfam family "Bacterial small subunit ribosomal RNA", at positions 28 to 416 of the family's 1533-position model. The record is from RNAcentral.